AGCGAACGCUGGCGGCAGGCUUAACACAUGCAAGUCGAGGGGUAGCAGGGUAGCAAUACCGCUGACGACCGGCGCACGGGUGAGUAACACGUAUCCAACCUUCCCAUAACUCGGGGAUAGCCUUUCGAAAGAAAGAUUAAUACCCGAUAGUACUUAAGAAAGGCAUCUUUUUUAAGUUAAAGAUUUAUUGGUUAUGGAUGGGGAUGCGUUCCAUUAGAUAGUUGGUGAGGUAACGGCUCACCAAGUCUUCGAUGGGUAGGGGGUCUGAGAGGAAGGUCCCCCACAUUGGUACUGAGACGCGGACCAAACUCCUACGGGAGGCAGCAGUGAGGAAUAUUGGUCAAUGGGCGAGAGCCUGAACCAGCCAAGUAGCGUGAAGGAUGAAGGUCCUAUGGAUUGUAAACUUCUUUUAUAGUAGAAUAAAGUGAUCCACGUGUGGGUUUUUGUAUGUAUACUAUGAAUAAGGAUCGGCUAACUCCGUGCCAGCAGCCGCCGCAG
This 498-nucleotide ribosomal RNA is filed under the name uncultured bacterium. RNAcentral describes it as "partial 16S ribosomal RNA". It matches the Rfam family "Bacterial small subunit ribosomal RNA", at positions 29 to 523 of the family's 1533-position model. The record is from RNAcentral.